RNAcentral lists this ribosomal RNA (1325 nucleotides) under Ralstonia sp. 13I. RNAcentral describes it as "partial 16S ribosomal RNA". It matches the Rfam family "Bacterial small subunit ribosomal RNA". Lineage: Bacteria; Pseudomonadati; Pseudomonadota; Betaproteobacteria; Burkholderiales; Burkholderiaceae. The record is from RNAcentral.
AGAGUUUGAUCCUGGCUCAGAUUGAACGCUGGCGGCAUGCCUUACACAUGCAAGUCGAACGGCAGCAUGAUCUAGCUUGCUAGAUUGAUGGCGAGUGGCGAACGGGUGAGUAAUACAUCGGAACGUGCCCUGUAGUGGGGGAUAACUAGUCGAAAGAUUAGCUAAUACCGCAUACGACCUGAGGGUGAAAGUGGGGGACCGCAAGGCCUCAUGCUAUAGGAGCGGCCGAUGUCUGAUUAGCUAGUUGGUGGGGUAAAGGCCCACCAAGGCGACGAUCAGUAGCUGGUCUGAGAGGACGAUCAGCCACACUGGGACUGAGACACGGCCCAGACUCCUACGGGAGGCAGCAGUGGGGAAUUUUGGACAAUGGGCGAAAGCCUGAUCCAGCAAUGCCGCGUGUGUGAAGAAGGCCUUCGGGUUGUAAAGCACUUUUGUCCGGAAAGAAAUGGCUCUGGUUAAUACCUGGGGUCGAUGACGGUACCGGAAGAAUAAGGACCGGCUAACUACGUGCCAGCAGCCGCGGUAAUACGUAGGGUCCAAGCGUUAAUCGGAAUUACUGGGCGUAAAGCGUGCGCAGGCGGUUGUGCAAGACCGAUGUGAAAUCCCCGAGCUUAACUUGGGAAUUGCAUUGGUGACUGCACGGCUAGAGUGUGUCAGAGGGGGGUAGAAUUCCACGUGUAGCAGUGAAAUGCGUAGAGAUGUGGAGGAAUACCGAUGGCGAAGGCAGCCCCCUGGGAUAACACUGACGCUCAUGCACGAAAGCGUGGGGAGCAAACAGGAUUAGAUACCCUGGUAGUCCACGCCCUAAACGAUGUCAACUAGUUGUUGGGGAUUCAUUUCCUUAGUAACGUAGCUAACGCGUGAAGUUGACCGCCUGGGGAGUACCGGUCGCAAGAUUAAAACUCAAAGGAAUUGACGGGGACCCGGCGCAACCCUUGUCUCUAGUUGCUACGAAAGGGCACUCUAGAGAGACUGCCGGUGACAAACCGGAGGAAGGUGGGGAUGACGUCAAGUCCUCAUGGCCCUUAUGGGUAGGGCUUCACACGUCAUACAAUGGUGCAUACAGAGGGUUGCCAAGCCGCGAGGUGGAGCUAAUCCCAGAAAAUGCAUCGUAGUCCGGAUCGUAGUCUGCAACUCGACUACGUGAAGCUGGAAUCGCUAGUAAUCGCGGAUCAGCAUGCCGCGGUGAAUACGUUCCCGGGUCUUGUACACACCGCCCGUCACACCAUGGGAGUGGGCUUUACCAGAAGUAGUUAGCCUAACCGCAAGGAGGGCGAUUACCACGGUAGGGUUCAUGACUGGGGUGAAGUCGUAACAAGGUAACC